UACGUAGGGUGCAAGCGUUAAUCGGAAUUACUGGGCGUAAAGCGUGCGCAGGCGGUUUUGUAAGUCAGAUGUGAAAUCCCCGGGCUUAACCUGGGAACUGCGUUUGAAACUACAAGGCUAGAGUGUGGCAGAGGGGGUGGAAUUCCGACGUGUAGCAGUGAAAUGCGUAGAGAUGUGGAGGAACACCGGAUGGCGAAGGCAGCCCCCUGGGUUAACACUGACGCUCAGGCGACGAAAGCGUGGGGAGCAAACAGGG
Molecule: ribosomal RNA, 256 nt
Filed under: uncultured bacterium
Lineage: Bacteria
Description: partial 16S ribosomal RNA
Rfam family: Bacterial small subunit ribosomal RNA
Source: RNAcentral